UGGGGAAUAUUGGACAAUGGGCGCAAGCCUGAUCCAGCAAUGCCGCGUGUGUGAAGAAGGCCUUCGGGUUGUAAAGCACUUUUGUCCGGAAAGAAAUCCUUGGCUCUAAUACAGUCGGGGGAUGACGGUACCGGAAGAAUAAGCACCGGCUAACUACGUGCCAGCAGCCGCGGUAAUACGUAGGGUGCAAGCGUUAAUCGGAAUUACUGGGCGUAAAGCGUGCGCAGGCGGUUUGCUAAGACCGAUGUGAAAUCCCCGGGCUCAACCUGGGAACUGCAUUGGUGACUGGCAGGCUAGAGUAUGGCAGAGGGGGGUAGAAUUCCACGUGUAGCAGUGAAAUGCGUAGAGAUGUGGAGGAAUACCGAUGGCGAAGGCAGCCCCCUGGGCCAAUACUGACGCUCAUGCACGAAAGCGUGGGGAGCAAACAGGAUUAGAUACCCUGGUAGUCCACGCCCUAAAACGAUGUCAACUAGUUGUUGGGGAUUCAUUUCCUUAGUAACGUAGCUAACGCGUGAAGUUGACCGCCUGGGGAGUACGGUCGCAAGAUUAAAACUUAAAGGAAUUGACGGGGUCAUAGCUG
RNAcentral lists this ribosomal RNA (580 nucleotides) under uncultured bacterium. RNAcentral's name for it is "partial 16S ribosomal RNA". It matches the Rfam family "Bacterial small subunit ribosomal RNA", at positions 355 to 932 of the family's 1533-position model. The record is from RNAcentral.